This 2305-nucleotide long non-coding RNA is filed under the name Dermacentor andersoni. Its description in RNAcentral is "uncharacterized LOC126517933". Lineage: Eukaryota; Metazoa; Arthropoda; Arachnida; Ixodida; Ixodidae. The record is from RNAcentral.
ACCACUGCAGUGCUGCGGAAAUUGCCUUCACCAGCGGCUUUGCAACAGCUGUUUCGCAGCAUGUCGGAGACAAUGCCUACGAAAUUAUUGGCCCUGAUCAUGAGAGCCCUCAAGGGGCAGACAACAUCUCUGUUGCAGAAGUGAGCCCGAUACCACUUGGAAGUUACCAUGACAGAUGACACGGCAGCAAUAGAUACAGAGACUGCCAUGUCUACUGCAGCUGCAACAGUGUACGAGGCAAGCAGCAGCGCGUCAGCAUCAGCAGCAGUGUCAGAAGGAACCACACCAGGCCUGGUAGAGCAACAUGUGUGCUAUCACUGACUUUUUUUGUAGUGGAUACAACUCAUUUGCUCAACAUACAAAAGCUUUUCACCACGACUGUGAGCCAGUGUUAUUGUGCAGCAAGUGCAAGACUAAGUUAGGUGUUAUAACACAGUACAAGCAUCACUUUAAUAUAUGCAAAUGCAAACAUAUUACAGUUGUUGCCUCCCCAGCCAGCCCACAUAGUGACAACAAUGUGGAACACAUGGUGGGACACACCUCUCCCCCAUUACAAGAUAGUAGAGACUGUCAGUGUUGUUGCUAGAUUGACUGGUCUUUGUAGGCAACUAGAAGGACAACACAGGUGUCAAAAGAUUGUUGUUGAUGUUGUUGUUGAAGAGGUAAAAAAGAAGUUUGAUGCAGCUGAAGUGCCAACUGAUAUUGAGCAAAUCAAAAGCGACCACCUGAGAAAGCAACACUAUCGAAAUUUGGGUAUCUAUGUGCCGCCAACUCUGGUAAGAAUGGCAUAGGACAGAAGUGUGAUGAAAAUCACACAGACACUGCUGUUGCAUCACUGGCCACAGUGAGCAGCGACUUGUAGGGCAAGAGAGUCAACUGAAACUAACAUUAUGAUACAGUGUCAUGCUCCCAUGUGACCACUUUUCAAGUUAUUUUGCAAGAUACAGCUCAACCUCCAGAAACGAGACUGCAACUUGUCUGUAAAAAAGCUUUCACAAAAAAUUAUUCAUAACACUAUUAACAUAGCAGUAUCUUUUUUUUGUGUCGGUUCGAGGUUCCCGGCUGUCCAUUAAUGCAAAAAUUGAGGAAAAAGAGAACAUGGGUCGUACUUACACCUUUUUAACGAGUACGAGGGGGACAGAACUUUUCUAGUCAUGCAUCUUCAUCAUACUAUCAAGUUUUUAAAUGCCUUUUAUAAUUAUUAUCACCAGUUAUAUCUGAGUGCAUUGUAUGCAUGUAGCAGGUGUAAAAUCAGGUCAGUUGGAUCAGAUGCCUUAUCUGCAAGCGAGCCCUAUAUUCAAGAAAUUUGAAUUAAAAUAGUUAGGUUAGAGACGCAGUCUUUCAGCACUUUAUUGCCUGUGGUUUAAGCAUUGCUCAAUACUUUUGUGGGUGGCAAUUUCAACCGGCACAGCACUGCGCUUUGCCACAGUCACAUUUGUCUUCAAAGCGGUGUUUACCAUUUGUGUUGAUCUGUUUGUGUAUGCAUAGAGCAAGUUUUUAAUUUAUAUUUUUCUGCAUUCUUGUGCUUGCACUAAGCUUGUAUAAGGCAGUUAUAAAAUGUGCGUCACUAUAACUAACUGUUCUGUUGAGCUUACACUUGCAAAUAAUUGUGUUCAGAUGGCCGCACUUCUAUGCGGGUGCACUGCUAGCUUUGUGUAUGUUCUCAUGUUUGUAUAAAGCUUAUAUAAGCUAGUUAGAAAAUGUAUGUCACUAAGCAUUGUGAUAUUCUUUAAAGAACUGCUUGGUUGGUUUUACACUUGUGAAUUAGUAUUGAGGUGUUGGUAUUCCCAUAUAUGCCCACUGCUAGCUUUCUGUGUCCUCACGUGUUUGUAUUAAGUUUCUACAAGGGAGUUACAGCAUGUACGUCACUAAGCACUGUGAUAUUUUUUAAAGAACUGCUUUGUUGGUUUUACACCUGUGAGUAAUAGUACUCGGGUGGCACUAGUCAUGUGUAGGUACACAGGGAGCAUUUGUAUACAUUAUGCUCAUGUAAAGCAGUUACAAAGUGUAUGUCACUAAUUACUGUGAUAUUUGUUGAAUUGCUGUGAUGGUUUUACACAUGUGAAUAUUAGUGGUCAGGACACAGUACUUGCGGUGUAUAGUUGAAUUUAUACACUGCCAAGACAUGGGCUGUAUACGUACCAAAAGAAAUGUAUGUCAUUAUAUUGUUGUGAUUAUUACUGUUUGGAUUUUAUUAAACUGUAAUAAAAUUGUUUCUUGUAUCUAUUGAGGUAUGGAAAUUUGUCAUGCAACCAAACUGAGGACCUGAACUUGUGCAUACAAAUAAACAGCUAAUUUAAAAGUA